Molecule: ribosomal RNA, 253 nt
Filed under: uncultured bacterium
Lineage: Bacteria
Description: partial 16S ribosomal RNA
Rfam family: Bacterial small subunit ribosomal RNA
Source: RNAcentral
UACGUAGGGGGCCAGCGUUGUCCGGAUUCAUUGGGCGUAAAGCGCGUGUAGGCGGCUGGGUAGGUCUGAUGUGAAAACUCGAGGCUCAACCUCGAGACGUCGUCGGAAACCACCCGGCUAGAGUCCGGAAGAGGAGAGCGGAAUUCCUGGUGUAGCGGUGAAAUGCGCAGAUAUCAGGAAGAACACCAAUGGCGAAGGCAGCUCUCUGGGACGGUACUGACGCUGAGACGCGAAAGCGUGGGGAGCGAACAGG